This is a small nucleolar RNA of Protopterus annectens (West African lungfish), 95 nucleotides long. RefSeq annotates it as Z30 small nucleolar RNA. The transcript has a single exon. The record is from RefSeq and is a predicted model, not a curated record. Lineage: Eukaryota; Metazoa; Chordata; Ceratodontiformes; Protopteridae.
AGCAAUGAUGAAUGGAAGUAUAGUGUGACUUGGUAUUACCAGCAUCCUUGGUGGUUCUGACCAAGACAUGAUCACAUAAUCUUCUCUCUGAGCUA